This 406-nucleotide ribosomal RNA is filed under the name uncultured bacterium. Its description in RNAcentral is "partial 16S ribosomal RNA". It matches the Rfam family "Bacterial small subunit ribosomal RNA", at positions 29 to 526 of the family's 1533-position model. The record is from RNAcentral.
AUUGAACGCUGGCGGCAGGCCUAACACAUGCAAGUCGAACGAGUGGCGGACGGGUGAGUAAUGUCUGGGACACUGCCCGAUGGAGGGGGAUAACUACUGGAAACGGUAGCUCAUACCGCAUCCCAUCGGAUGUGACCAGAUGGGAUUAGCUAGUAGGUGGGGUAACGGCUCACCGAGGCGACGAUCCCUAGCUGGUCUGAGAGGAUGACCAGCCACACGGGAACUGAGACACGGUCCAGACUCCUACGGGAGGCAGCAGUGGGGAAUAUUGCACAAGGGGCGCAAGCCGGAUGCAGCCAUACCGCGUGUAUGAAGAAGGCCGUCGGGUUGUAAAGUACUUUCAGCGAGGAGGCGUUACUCGAAGAAGAAGCACCGGCUAACUCCGUGCCAGCAGCCGCGGUAAUUC